GCUGGUGACAAUAGAGAGAAGGAACCACCUGUUCCCAUCCCGAACACAGAAGUUAAGCUUCUCAUCGUCGAAAAUACUUGACUGGAGACGGUCCGGAAAGAUAGAACAUUGCCAGUG
Molecule: ribosomal RNA, 117 nt
Filed under: Bacillota bacterium
Lineage: Bacteria; Bacillati; Bacillota
Also listed under: 2 other names
Source: RNAcentral